This 317-nucleotide ribosomal RNA is filed under the name Pleoticus robustus. RNAcentral's name for it is "partial 16S ribosomal RNA". It matches the Rfam family "Archaeal large subunit ribosomal RNA", at positions 1895 to 2368 of the family's 2987-position model. The record is from RNAcentral. Lineage: Eukaryota; Metazoa; Arthropoda; Malacostraca; Decapoda; Solenoceridae.
UUUAACAAAAACAUGUCUGUAUGAUUGUUAUAUAGAGUCUGGCCUGCCCACUGAUUUAUUAAAGGGCCGCGGUAUCUUGACCGUGCGAAGGUAGCAUAAUCAUUAGUCUUUUAAUUGAAGGCUUGUAUGAAUGGUUGGACAAAAAGUUAACUGUCUCAAUUAUAAAAAUUGAAUUUAACUUUUAAGUGAAAAGGCUUAAAUAUACUGAGGGGACGAUAAGACCCUAUAAAGCUUUACAAUAAAUUAAUUAAAUUAUAAAUUAUUAGUUUAACUUAAUUUAAUUAGUAUUUGUUUCGUUGGGGCGACGAGAAUAUAAU